Molecule: long non-coding RNA, 660 nt
Organism: Cannabis sativa
Lineage: Eukaryota; Viridiplantae; Streptophyta; Magnoliopsida; Rosales; Cannabaceae
Exons: 2
Source: RefSeq, a predicted model, not a curated record
UAAAAAUUUAAUUCCCCUAAAAUGGUAAGUUUGUUUAUAGCAAUGAUAUAAUUGCUAUUUCUUUAUAAAAAAAAAUAAUGAAAUAUCAGAACACUCAGGAAUGGGGUGAAAGCUCCUUUCUUCUGCAGCAUAAACCGUCUAUCCCAAAAUAGAUAUGGUUAUAUUAUUGUGUGUCGCCAAAUGUAUUGCAAGUAAUAUGUUGUAUUUUGCUGUUGAAUCAGCUAUUUCAGAUGGUAAGAUGAAAGUUUAAACAAGAAUUUUGUUCAUCUUUUUCUUUACUAGAAGAGUUCAUCUGAUUAACAUUUUGUGUGACAGGUGUGGAAUGGGUUUAUAUGCACAGAACUACCGCAAGAUGGGUUUCGAGUUGGUUCAAAUGGCAAGCUCUCAAUUAUUAGAGGCGGGAACAUUAUUGCUUUGUUUCAAAUUAUGAAAACCAUUCGUUUCAAAAUUCAUAUCGCGUAUGUGACUUGUAGAAUGUUUACAGGCUGCUAUCCCAAGCGAGAAGGAAUGUUUUUGGCCAUUACUUUCAAUUCAAAUUGUGAUAUCUUAUUCAAUAGGCCUUGAGCAAUAUUCUUCUAUAUUUUAAUUUUUUUUUUUAUAUAAUUUCUGCAUAUUGAAAUGGAAAACAAGAAAAGAAAAAUAAAGAAGUUGUUAUGUAUA